UACUUCUACCCGAAACUAUGAGCUGGAUCCCCCUAAGCGAAAUGGUUCUACCUAAGUUAAGCUAUAUAUAAAAACCUGAGCGAAGAGUACUUCUACCCGCAAAUAUGAGCUGGAUUCCCCUAGGCAAAAUGGUUCUACCUGGGUUAAGCUAUGUAAAACAACCUGAGUGAAGCGUACUUCUACCCGGAACUAUGAACUGGAUCCCCCUAGGCGAAAAGAUUCUACCUGGAUUAAGCUACGUAAAACAACCUGGGCGAAGAGUACUUCUACCCGGAACUAUGAACUGGAUCUCCUUUGACGAAAAUGAUCUACCUGGGUUAAGCUACUUAAACAACUUGGGCGAAGAGUACUUCUACCAGGAACUAUGAGCUGGAUCCCUCUAGGCGAAAAUGUUCUACCUGGGUUAAGCUACGUAAAACAAGCCUGGGCGAAGAGUACUUCUACCCGGAACUAUGAGUUGGAUCCCCCUAAGCGAAAAGGUUCUACCUGGGUUAAGCUAUGUAAAACAUCCUAAGCGAAGAGUACUUCUACUCGGAACUAUGAGAUGGAUCCCCCUAGGCGAAAAGAUUCUACCUGGGUUAAGCUACGAAAAAUAAGCCUGUGCGAAUACUACUUCUACUCCGAAAUAUGAGCUAGAUCCCCCUAGGUAAAAAAGGUUCUACAUGGGUUAAGCUAUGAAACAACCUGAGUGAAGAGUACUUCUACCCGAAACUAUGAGCUGGAUCCCCCUAGGCGAAAAGAUUCUACCUGGAUUAAGCUACGUAAAACAACCUGGG
Molecule: long non-coding RNA, 776 nt
Filed under: Nicotiana tabacum (common tobacco)
Lineage: Eukaryota; Viridiplantae; Streptophyta; Magnoliopsida; Solanales; Solanaceae
Description: long non-coding RNA (NTAB_LNC018587)
Source: RNAcentral